GUGGGGAAUAUUGGGCAAUGGGCGAAAGCCUGACCCAGCAACGCCGCGUGAAGGAAGAAGGUUUUCGGAUCGUAAACUUCUAUCCUUGGUGAAGAUAAUGACGGUAGCCGAGAAGGAAGCCCCGGCUAACUACGUGCCAGCAGCCGCGGUAAUACGUAGGGGGCAAGCGUUGUCCGGAAUGAUUGGGCGUAAAGGGCGUGUAGGCGGCCUGGUAAGUCUGGAGUGAAAGUCCUGCUUUUAAGGUGGGAAUUGCUUUGGAUACUGUCGGGCUUGAGUGCAGGAGAGGUAAGUGGAAUUCCCGGUGUAGCGGUGAAAUGCGUAGAGAUCGGGAGGAACACCAGUGGCGAAGGCGACUUACUGGACUGUAACUGACGCUGAGGCGCGAAAGUGUGGGGAGCAAACAGGAUUAGAAACCCCAGUAGUCC
RNAcentral lists this ribosomal RNA (425 nucleotides) under uncultured bacterium. Its description in RNAcentral is "partial 16S ribosomal RNA". It matches the Rfam family "Bacterial small subunit ribosomal RNA", at positions 354 to 796 of the family's 1533-position model. The record is from RNAcentral.